AGAGUUUGAUCCUGGCUCAGGAUGAACGCUGGCGGCGUGCCUAAUACAUGCAAGUCGAACGCACUGUGGUUCAACUGAUUUGAAGAGCUUGCUCUGAUAUGACGAUGAACAUUGCAGUGAGUGGCGAACGGGUGAGUAACACGUGGGAAACCUACCUCUUAGCGGGGGAUAACAUCUGGAAACAGAUGCUAAUACCGCAUAACACUAGCAACCGCAUGGUUGCUACUUGAAAGAUGGUUCUGCUAUCACAAAGAGAUGGUCCCGCGGCGCAUUAGUUAGUUGGUGAGGUAAUGGCUCACCAAGACGAUGAUGCGUAGCCGAGUUGAGAGACUGAUCGGCCACAAUGGGACUGAGACACGGCCCAUACUCCUACGGGAGGCAGCAGUAGGGAAUCUUCCACAAUGGACGAAAGUCUGAUGGAGCAACGCCGCGUGUGCGAUGAAGGGUUUCGGCUCGUAAAACACUGUUGUAAGAGAAGAAUAGCAUCAAGAGUAACUGCUUGGUGUGUGACGGUAUCUUACCAGAAAGGAACGGCUAAAUACGUGCCAGCAGCCGCGGUAAUACGUAUGUUCCAAGCGUUAUCCGGAUUUAUUGGGCGUAAAGCGAGCGCAGACGGUUUUUUAAGUCCGAAGUGAAAGCCCACAGCUUAACUGUGGAAGUGCUUUGGAAACUGGAUGACUUGAGUGCAGUAGAGGAGAGUGGAAUUCCAUGUGUAGCGGU
Molecule: ribosomal RNA, 720 nt
Filed under: uncultured bacterium
Lineage: Bacteria
Description: bacterial SSU rRNA
Rfam family: Bacterial small subunit ribosomal RNA
Source: RNAcentral